AUGGCGGAAAAGAAGGUCGUGCUGAAGCUGGACCUGCACGACGACAAGCAGAAGCAGAGGGCUCUCAAGGUCGUCUCCACUCUCCACGGCAUCGACCAGAUCGCCGUGGACAUGAAGGACCAGAAGAUGACGGUGGUGGGCACCGUCGACCCCGUGGACCUCGUCGGCAGGCUGCGCAGCAAGCUCUUCCCCACGGCGCAGAUGCUCUCCGUCGGCCCGGCCAAGGAGGAGAAGAAGGACGGCGGCGCCAAGAAGGACGACGGCAAGAAGGAUGGCGACAAGAAGGAGCCGAUCCCGGUGUACACGCCGUGGUACCCGCCGCCGCCGCCGCUGUACCACCCGCACCCGUACUACCACAACCACAGCGCCGAGGAGGACCCCAGCUCCUGCGUCAUCUGCUGA
Molecule: ribosomal RNA, 402 nt
Filed under: Triticum aestivum (bread wheat)
Lineage: Eukaryota; Viridiplantae; Streptophyta; Magnoliopsida; Poales; Poaceae
Description: partial small subunit ribosomal RNA
Source: RNAcentral